Molecule: ribosomal RNA, 614 nt
Filed under: uncultured bacterium
Lineage: Bacteria
Description: bacterial SSU rRNA
Rfam family: Bacterial small subunit ribosomal RNA
Source: RNAcentral
CCUAACACAUGCAAGUCGAGCGGCACCCCUCCUCGGAGGGAAGCGAGCGGCGAACGGCUGAGUAACACGUGACCAACCUGCCCUGCGCACGGGGACAGCCGCGGGAAACCGCGGGUGAUACCCGGUGGCCCCCUGGGACCGCAUGGCCCCAGGGGCAUAGCUCCGGCGGCGCGGGAUGGGGUCGCGGCCCAUCAGGUAGUUGGUAGGGUGACGGCCUACCAAGCCGACUACGGGUAGCCGGGUUGAGAGACCGACCGGCCAGAUUGGGACUGAGACACGGCCCAGACUCCUACGGGAGGCAGCAGUGGGGAAUCUUGCGCAAUGGGGGGAACCCUGACGCAGCGACGCCGCGUGCGGGAUGGAGGCCUUCGGGUCGUGAACCGCUUUCAGCAGGGACGAGACUGACGGUACCUGCAGAAGAAGCCCCGGCUAACUACGUGCCAGCAGCCGCGGUAAUACGUAGGGGGCGAGCGUUAUCCGGAUUCAUUGGGCGUAAAGCGCGCGUAGGCGGCCGCGCAGGCGGGGGGUCAAAUCCCGGGGCUCAACCCCGGGCCGCCCCCCGAACCGCGCGGCUUGGGUCCGGCAGGGGAGGGUGGAACGCCCGGUGUAGCGGU